Molecule: ribosomal RNA, 305 nt
Filed under: uncultured Planctomycetota bacterium
Lineage: Bacteria; Pseudomonadati; Planctomycetota
Description: bacterial SSU rRNA
Rfam family: Bacterial small subunit ribosomal RNA
Source: RNAcentral
AAUGAACGUUGGUGGCGUGGAUUAGGCAUGCAAGUCGCGCGGAAAGGCCCCUUCGGGGCACUCGAGCGGCGAAAGGGAGAGUAACGCGUGGGUAACCUACCCUUGGGUCCGGGAUAGCGGCGGGAAACCGCCGAUAAUACCGGAUAACGUCUCCGGACCAAAGGUGUGAUUCCGCCUGGGGAUGGGCCCGCGUCCUAUUAGUUAGUUGGUGGGGUAACGGCCUACCAAGACGACGAUGGGUACUGGGUGUGAGAGCACGACCCGGCUCACUGGGACUGAGACACUGCCCAGACACCUACGGGCUG